Molecule: ribosomal RNA, 747 nt
Filed under: Paenibacillus sp. RI40
Lineage: Bacteria; Bacillati; Bacillota; Bacilli; Caryophanales; Paenibacillaceae
Description: bacterial SSU rRNA
Rfam family: Bacterial small subunit ribosomal RNA
Source: RNAcentral
GCUCAGGACGAACGCUGGCGGCAUGCCUAAUACAUGCAAGUCGAGCGGAGUUGAUAAGAAGCUUGCUUCUUUGAUACUUAGCGGCGGACGGGUGAGUAACACGUAGGCAACCUGCCCUCAAGUUUGGGACAACUACCGGAAACGGUAGCUAAUACCGAAUAAUUGUUUUCUUCGCCUGAAGGAAACUGGAAAGACGGAGCAAUCUGUCACUUGGGGAUGGGCCUGCGGCGCAUUAGCUAGUUGGUGAGGUAACGGCUCACCAAGGCGACGAUGCGUAGCCGACCUGAGAGGGUGAUCGGCCACACUGGGACUGAGACACGGCCCAGACUCCUACGGGAGGCAGCAGUAGGGAAUCUUCCGCAAUGGGCGAAAGCCUGACGGAGCAAUGCCGCGUGAGUGAUGAAGGUUUUCGGAUCGUAAAGCUCUGUUGCCAGGGAAGAACGCUUGGGAGAGUAACUGCUCUCAAGGUGACGGUACCUGAGAAGAAAGCCCCGGCUAACUACGUGCCAGCAGCCGCGGUAAUACGUAGGGGGCAAGCGUUGUCCGGAAUUAUUGGGCGUAAAGCGCGCGCAGGCGGUCAUUUAAGUCUGGUGUUUAAUCCCGGGGCUCAACCCCGGAUCGCACUGGAAACUGGGUGACUUGAGUGCAGAAGAGGAGAGUGGAAUUCCACGUGUAGCGGUGAAAUGCGUAGAUAUGUGGAGGAACACCAGUGGCGAAGGCGACUCUCUGGGCUGUAACUGACGCUAG